Molecule: ribosomal RNA, 253 nt
Filed under: uncultured bacterium
Lineage: Bacteria
Description: partial 16S ribosomal RNA
Rfam family: Bacterial small subunit ribosomal RNA
Source: RNAcentral
GACGAGGUGCACAAACGUUAUUCGGAAUUACUGGGCUUAAAGCGUGCGUAGGCGGCCUAGCAAGUCGGGUGUGAAAGCCCUCGGCUCAACCGAGGAAUUGCGCCCGAAACUGCUGGGCUUGAGUGAGACAGAGGUGAGCGGAACUGAUGGUGGAGCGGUGAAAUGCGUUGAUAUCAUCAGGAACACCGGUGGCGAAGGCGACUUCCUGGCCUGUUCUUGACGCUGAGGCGCGAAAGCUAGGGUAGCAAACGGG